AAUCUGUGGAGGCUCCAGGGGGCCCAGGGUCCGGCAGGGAUGUGCCAUUCCUUGAUCAAUAAUAUCAUAAAUAAUCCAUUCCAACAUUGUUACCUCGAAGACAACGGCCGGCGGAAUGCAUGAGGGAAAGAAAAAAUGGAAAGGCAAAAUGGUGAAUUCCGACAUCUUUUCUUUCUCGUUAUUGAUAGGUUGAAUAACUACUCAACUUGAUGACGAUCAUAUCAUAUUCGAAUAUACAAACCUACAAUGCUUCUUGCCAGUAAGACAUUCAUUCAUCCGAGAGAGGGGGGG
Molecule: small RNA, 291 nt
Filed under: Histoplasma capsulatum
Lineage: Eukaryota; Fungi; Ascomycota; Eurotiomycetes; Onygenales; Ajellomycetaceae
Also listed under: 1 other name
Description: hypothetical RNA
Source: RNAcentral